Molecule: long non-coding RNA, 11990 nt
Organism: Parus major (Great Tit)
Lineage: Eukaryota; Metazoa; Chordata; Aves; Passeriformes; Paridae
Exons: 12
Source: RefSeq, a predicted model, not a curated record
CUUCCCAAGUCACUGUUGGGUGUGAUGGGGCCCUGCUUUCCUGGGGAUGGCUGAACACCUGCCUGUCCACGGAAAGCAGUGAAUGACUUCCUUGUUUUGCAUUGCUUGCGUGCGCUGCUUUUGCUUUCCCUACUAAAGUGUCUUUAUCUCAGAAAACUCUUAUGAGUUACUCAUUUUUACCUUUCCAAUUCUCUCCCCUAUCCCACCAGAGGAGUGACUGUGUGGUGCUUAGUUGCUGGCUGGAGUUAAAAUGUGACAGCUUGAAAGGCUGUGAAGGAAGAAUAACCCAUUUGAGUCAGUUCACCUAUAUUCAGAAUAAUAUAUUGAAGCUAUAAAAAGAAAAUGACUAAACUCACUGGUGUAUAUGCAUGAAUUGUGCUAACAGACCUGGAUAUAGAAUAACUAGGAAGCGCUGAGUAAAAUUUUGCAGCUCUGACUAUUGCAAUUACCCCAAUGAUUUCAGGAAAGCAUCAACUAGUACAUGGAUCUAGUACAUGGAUCAGUACUCUUUUCUAUCUGUUGUUAGUCACAGCCUUGUGUAAGAUCGCCAAAAAAAGUAAUGGUGUACAAGGAGGGCAGUGUCAUGAGGUACUAGAAAUGCUACUGCAACCUAAAGAAAGAUUGCCUUACAUCACUGUGUCCUGAAUACCCUUACCCCCCAAUGUCAAUAAUUUUUAUACACAAACAUUUACAUUGUGCCUAUCAAUUUUCUUCCUCCCUUUUACUAUUGUUAAGAAUUCAUAUUUUUAAACUUCACAUAUAAUUUUCUCUGCCUGGAUUUUGGACGAGCACUGCAUCAUGUUAAACUCUGCUUUGCUAUUGAUCUUAAAAAAACCUGGCAUAGUGCUUUAGCAGAAAGAAAGAUUGUACUUCUUAUGAAAAGACUUUUUUUCCCAAAACGUCCUCUUACGUCUUUUUAAAAGAACUUUUCAUAAUUGAUUCUGAGGGUAAAAGAGCAGCAUGGUAUUGCAUAUUAGUUGGAGAGUAGAAUUGAGUCAACUAAAAAUAUAUUGAGCUGGAAUGGUGAAAAAAAUUACAGGCCAGGUAUUAAUGUGAGUAAUACUGAACAUGUAAAUUAAAGAGCUGUUGAAGUCAAAUAUGCUGAGCUCUGGACAUCUCUCCACCUUUUCAGUGGACUGGAGCCUGGAUCCUCUGUGAGCUUACACAGCUGUGUUGUGCUGAGAUACGGUAAAGAGCUCAGUCACAGUGAUUUAUUGACUCAAAAUCAGAAGGAGAAUCUUUGAAAUGGCCACUCAGCUGAAGAAGCCAGACUGGCAACAUCUGUAUCUUCCCACUUGAAAACCUCACCUGUUGCUUGCUCCUACAGAGUACCUGGAAACACUGACCACUCACUUUGCCAGUUGAAGACCCAGUCAACUCUGCUGGAAGCCUGGGAUCAUGGAUAAGGAGACAGGCUAUACCACUGUGCUGCAAGUAUGGGAAGCAUGGAAUUAGUUUUGUGGCGGCUUCAAGGGGGGGAGCAGUCUGGCUUUUGGAAGGAGGAAAGGACGUCAUGAAUGCAGAAGAGCAUCUCCAUUACUUAGAAAGCCUGGGGACAUGUAGGAUUCAUCUCCCAUUUCUGCUGAAACUGGUGACCAAACUUGCCGUGGAUCAAGUGGAAGCAAGGUCAGGUGGUCAUCUUGUGAAAUCCUCUGGUCCAAUGCAUCUGGGGAAGCUGUAAACACACAGGACACAGUCUGAGGAGUCUAUUUACCACCAGUGGUGUAACCAGUGGUGUUCAGGACUGAUCCCAGCACAGCCAUUAUGGAGAGUCCAAGGCUGCUGCAAACCCCAGGAACAAAGGAAUUGCAUAUCGCAGCAGCAAUGCGGUCUUUGCCCAGAAGAGAUUUUCUUUAGGAGGGUGGAGGGUAGAAAUGAAAAACCUGAGGUCUGGCUCUGUAAUCUCCUUCUGCCUAUCUGCGGGCAGGUUACUCCCACUGUCACGCUGCUCUUGAAGUCUCUCCACAUCUACUCUAAGAGCUCCUGGGAGGAUGUGAUGCAGCACAGAGGCAGAGCAGCAUGAGCAAGCAGCGCCUCAUCCAGCACCCAGCACGCUUGUACAAGGCUAACCCACCAAGGAUUUUAAACAGGCGAAAAACAAUUUCUUCUGAUCUGAAACCUGGCUCAGAGGAUCCCUCACAGAGACCGAGUUUGAUAAUAUUCACUGAAGACAUUUUUGACUUAGAGAAAUACAAUAUAAAAUGGAGCCUGGCAGAUUCCUAAAGGAUGAAAUAACUGAAACUUUCACAGCCUUGUGCUCACCAUCAUGACCUUAUGUGCCAGAGAUGACCUUGAUACAGCCUUCACACAUGGAGAGGGGUCAGAUGCUCCAUGGAAGGAGGGAAAGGACAAGUGAAGAAGUCGUGUCAUCCCCAGAGACCAGGGCCUCUGCCAAGGAAGAGGGAUGCUGGUAGGGUUGUAGGAUUAGUGGGAGUAAGGACAAGGUUUCUGUAACAACUAUUAUCACUUUGAAGGGAAGAUGAGUUCGUGCUUCAAGGAGGAACAUCUCUGAUGCAAGCCCAGAUAAUCAGGAUUAUGGUCUUGAGGGGUUCUGGACCUUGUAUUGCCUUGAAGAUCAAAGCUGAAGGCCAGCAUGGCAAGGGAAGAGCAUCCUACAAGCACGAAGUGCUACCUCAGCAUGACCAACCCCAGAGGUUUAAUCAGUGUCACGCAGCAGUCCUCUCAAAGUAUCAAGGGAUUACUUUAAAAGCCAUGAGGCAUCCCACAUCCACAGCGGGAGGUGCACCAGGGGGAAGAGCCAUGUGAUGAAGAAGAGACAUGUCUAUCCAGACUGGCAAGCUGACGUUUCCAACAAUGCUGCCUUGUUGGGAUGUGGCAGUCUCCAACCGGGGAAAUGGAGUUUAACUGUGAAUAGCAAUGCCACGUGCUCCCAGGGCAAUUUUUCCAGGUCAUUUAGUGCAAAUAAGCAAAAACCCACAACAAAGUUAAAGGCAGCCCUUAGCCUAGCCACAACUAUGAGGGCAGUAGGUUUAGGAAUUGUUUUGCUUCCAGAGAUUCUAAAGGUUUGCAGAAAUUAACUGCAGUGUGUUGAUAUGAAGAUUUAUGAGAGGAUCAAGGAGAUAUGAAAAUGAAAGAGUCAACAAUAUCAGAGCAUGACAAGAGAUAGUGAAGUAUUUUAUUUCCAUUGCUUUCAAUUUUAUCUCUUGUGUGUUAGCAGGAAAUAAUCCAAGCAGGGAGACUGCAUAGCAGAGGUAUGGAAAAUAGAUGUGAUCAUUUUCCAUAGAAGCAAUGAGCACCACUCUAGAUAUUUUAUAACUUGCUAGUGUUUUAUGUCAUUUCUUCAGACAUCUGCGCAUUAGAGUGACUGAGAACUGCAAAUGAUGUAUAGUUAAGAUAUCCCCCUAUAAUUAAGCUGAAAUAAUGCUGGAUUAUUCUAGCAUAAUUAUAGGGGACUAUUUUAACUAUUAGCUCAUUAAAAAGCUAUGAUGCAAAUCUCAUUCUGAAAGAGACGAAAAAAUGAGGGUAUAUGAACAAAAUGUCAGUGGUCCUCUGCUGAGACCAGAUGGAGAGGUAUAACUGUAUUGCAUUUAUCAGUCAAUAUAUUUAAUUAUAGCCAGGCUUGGAUGGAGCCUACAAUGGCCUUUUAUUAUAUUUAGUGUUUGCAGAUGGAUGUGGUGAUUCAGAAAUGCUUGGGAAGGGAAUGUGGUACCUAUGCAAAAGGGUAGACUUUAGCUGAAUUUGGUCUGGGUUUCACAUGAAAUCCUGCCACGUGCUCCUCUCCAGAUGGGAGCUGUACUUUUUCCCACCUUGCCCUUCAGGUGUGGCACACAGGGCUCCAGAAUCUCCUGUGCCAGGCUGUGUGGUGGUGUUUGAGCCCCUCAAUGAGGCUGGCCCCAAGAAGCGUGCUGGGGAUCGCAGCUGCCACCAGCCCCACCAGAGCACGGGGCACUCGCCAGUGUCUAAUCUGCUUGGGGUCAGCACUGGUCAAGUGCUAUGAAGCAGCAAUGUUUGGGUAACAAAAGGGAGGCAGUCUGCUUGGCUGGUCGGGUUUCGGACAAAGGGCAUCCUGGAAAGGGAGCUGCCUGCCCUCACGUGCUCUCUUCCAGGGGACAGAAAGUUAUUCUCCUUUUUGUUAACUCCCUCUCUCCCCUGAAGGACCCCAAGGGGGCCAAGGUAUCCUGAGCAGCUGGACAGAGGAGUUAUUGCUCUGCCCCCUAGCACUUAUUUGAGCCCCAGCUUGGCUGUGCUAACCAGUGAAAAGCUGUCCUGGGACAAAUUCCUGAUCCUGCUGCGCUUGUGAAAACAAAGGUCUCUCUUGCCUGGCCCUGCUAUAGGGUGGGAUACAGCUGGGGCACAGUAAAACCAAACAUUGAAACUCCAUGUUUUGGACUUUCUAAGACCUCCAGGAUCAAUGAUCCUUCCAGGAUCAUUCUCUCUAGGGAAUGGGAUCUAUAUAUGUUAGGAUCAAUCCCUGGCCUGUCAUUGGGGUAUCACUUUACAAGGGUCAGGUUUUCCAUCCCAGUUCAGCCACUAAUGCUGCCUUUUUUACAGUGAUUUGCUUUGCAAAUAUGAUUGGGUGUGCCUGCUCUGCCCAAAGGGGCAUCUCAUCUCUGGCAUCUGACAGCAAGCGUCAGGGCGAAAUAAUAGACCAGAGGCUAAAUAAGAAGAAUGACUUCUUGCCCUCAAGCAUUAUGACAACAAAUGGUGAAGAACGUGCCCUCAGGGAAUAGUGAAAUGAAUGAGAUGAAUGCCUAAUGUCCAAUAACUACAUGUCAAAUCAAAGACCAGACUCUUAAAGCACGAAGUUGGCAGAGUCUGGUGAAUGAAAGAAGUAGAGAGUCAGCAGGGAAAUUUAUUGUUGCACAGGAUGGCACAGUAUGUAAAUCUUGCUGGAGAGCUAUUUGUGCUUGUUGUUGGCUUUUGAAGACUGGGUAAAGAAUGUAAGACUUCUGUUUUGUAGCAAAAUAGUGAAGGGGGAAAACCAACAAAAAGUCAGGAAUGGCAGUUCAGGUAAAACUGAGGUCAUGCCCAAGUCCCUUUGUGGUCUAGGACUCAGCUGUAUGUUGUAAUUUCUUUUUUUCCCCUCAGCUUGCCCCAUAGCUGGCUGCUCAGCUCAUGAGCAGCAGAGCAAGGCGACAUGAACAGGGAGAAUCCACAAGAAGUUGGGGACAUGGCACAGGCUAUUUUUUGCUUGACUGAAGGACUCAUGGCUAGAUGUUCUGGAUUUUAACCCAAUAAGCUAUAUUUAUUUAUUUUAAUUUGACUAAAACUAGAGAAAACUAAGAACAAGAUCACAAGCCCAGGUGAUUUGGCAGAAAGCAUUCACGUGUGCAUGUUGGGUGUGAGCAGCUGAAACAUGAAGUGGCUUAUGCUAAACUUGACAGUGCAGUGCUGCACCCUGAGUCUGCAGACCAGGUGGUGUGGAUACCUGCACCAAGGUCUGCAAAGAGCUUCAGAGGAUGUUGCUGCCCCAGCCCCCGGGAGCACGGCUCUGUGCUGCCCUGCCCUUGCCAAUGGGAAGAUAUUCCAUGGGAAAGUGGGUUUGGGGACCUGGAAGCACUGUCACUGGUGAGAUCCGCACCCAACGCCUCGGGAGCCACUGGGUGGCGUAUGAACGCUGGCAUACAUGAAGGAGCAGGAUCCAUGGAAAAAAAUCUACCCACAAAGCAGAAAUAUACAUCCAUAAUUAAGUGGGCUCUCUUUGGACCGGAGCGAGAGCAAGGGAAACCAACCUGGCCUACAUUAGGAAAGUGGUUACAAAUCAUGCUUCCUUUAACAAAUAAAAGUCCAGAUGAUCAAGUAUCAAAAAGUAAAGUUCAGAGGCUGUGAAAGCAAUCAGCUAAUGAAAAAUCACAGCACAGCUUUGCCUCUGCCAUGCAGGGUAAGAACAGGGGACUGCAGGGGUAACAGCAAUUGCAAAACCCUUCGGCAAACAGCUGCCCAAAAUCAUUCCCCGUGCUUAAAUACCUGCUGGCAAUGGGCAGUCAUUUGUGCCUUGCUCAGCUGGGCACUGGUGAUGCCACGGCCACAGUUAUCUCAGCUGUGCAGAGCCCCCAGGUGCUGAUGUGGCAGGAGCAUCGUGGGUUCCCCCCAUACAGCCCUGCUCAGUUUAGAGUUUUCAUUUCCUAUAGGAGCAGCCAUUCCCAGGACACUGCCUUUGCUCACAGGGGCUGACGACAGCUGGGUCACCAGCAGUUGGCUUUGCAAGCCAGCUAAAGCCAGGAGAGUGUUUUCAGCAGGAGUCAGGAGUUAGUAGUACUUCAACCCAGCACCCUCCAGACUCCCCAUGUUUUCCUCCCCCAUCCGGUUUGUCCCUGCCUGAUCUAUAACCCUUGCUGCAUUUCAUGGACUCCUUUCCCUCUGUUUGUUUAAUGUGAUUAAGAAAAUAUUCAUAAUGUUUCUAUUCCAGUUUUGCUUAUUGCCUAGAAUUCCUCCUGGAGAAAAGUAAGUUGUCCCAGCCUUGUGCAGCUGGACCUGUGAAUAUUGCAACAGAGAGAUGCUAGGAGGAUUUACUUGUUCCCAACAGGGUAAGGCCACAGAGUGACAGAGAACAGGAGACACUCCAAGCUGUGAUGAGCAUCUUGAGACACAUUUUAUCUGGUUUUACCAACUGUCCAUACAAAUGAACAAGAAGCCCUCUUUGAGGGACUUUCUCCUAUAAAUGCUGGGGCUGGAGCAGGAAAACAGUGGAACAGCACUAAGAUAAAUGAUACUAUUUUCAACUUAUUCAGAAAAGCAUUUGUUCUGAACACAACAGCAUCACUAUGAAUUCUCUUCAGAAUCUCUGAGAACUCCAUAUUAUAGACAUGAGGCACUGACAUACUUUCAUGCUGUUCAGGCACCACACAAGUGGCAAAAGACAGGAAAGUGCAGUUAUCAGCCAGGCUGGGGUUAUGUUUUCUUACCACACCUGGUGGUCUGCCUUCCCUCCUUUGUUGAGGUGGGAUCAUGAGGUAUAUCUGCUCUCAGCUGCCACUGGUUCAUCACUGCAAGCCACCACCAAGUCACUGGCAGGCAGUGAUUGUUUCCUGCCUGCAGAUGUCACAGGGGCAAGAGGGGGACUUCGGUGUGCAGGAGGGAAGGAGAAGCGGUUAAGCAGAGCAGAAUGAUGAUAGCCUUGAAACAUACUACUGAGUCCCCUCUAUCAGCUAAGUGAAUAGUUUUUUACCCAGCCUGGAGAAAAGAAGGAAAUUAGAGGUGAACAGUCCCCUGCAGAUUGUCCAUUCCCCAGUGAACCAUGGCUAGGAUGUCCUGCCCAGCUGUGGGAAGUUCAUGUCCCAGCUCCAUGACUCAGUGUCCCUCUGCGAGAGGGAGGUCAUUCCCACAAGGGCUGAAGUCCUCACUGCCUGUGACUGGUUUGUGAAACAUAAAAGGGAAAGUGCUCUGUGGCUUUUGUGAGUAUUGAGAGAGCAGCCAGUUGGUGCUGUGGCUGUUCUUCAGUGGGAUGCCUGAGAAGAGACCAGGUUAACUGGGAGCUAGCUGCCCUUACAGAGCAAUUGCCUAACAUGCAAGUCCUGAUGGAAAAACAAUGCUCCUGCUGUGAGGGGAAAAUCUCUCAUCCCUGGGAAAAGGGCUGGGAAUAUGUCCUCACUGAUGUUGCCUUCCUUUAGAGGCUCCAAGGUUCUGUCUUCACUGUCCUGCAGAUGGGAAGCUGAGGCAGAGAACAAAAUUUCAUUGAUUUUCAUCCAUGGCAGAAGAGCUCCUUGGUGGAAAGGAGGCAGGGACCUGCAUCUGAGGUUAAUGCCCUCACCUAUGAUAUGUAUCGCCUCUUCACUACAGGCUCUCAUGGAGACUCCUGUGGUUUUGGGGAAAAUCAUUUGAUCUGGAUCAGGCUCAGGAAGCUUCAUGAUGGAUUUCAAGUAAUAAAUGGCAGCAAAAUAGGAAAGGAGAAAGGAAAGCCUGGUUCCUGAGUUCCUGAGCAGAGAGACAUUUGCACACAUCUUUAUCUGUGAAGGUUUCCUCAGUAUUUAUCAUUGAUGUAAACUCUUCUCUCUGAACCGCACCCAAAAUGCCAGCUGGCUCCAGCAGACUGAGGGAGGCACACUAGUGAAGUCUAAUGAAAGCCCAGGCACAAAUCCCAAAACUGACACUCACCCCAGUCUCAUGUAGGAUUGUGAGCUGCUGUUUCCUCACAGAUUAGCAGAGGGCAGUGAGAUUUUGGGGUUUUUCUCCAGUGUUGGGGUAUCACUGCUUAGUAAGCACUCCCUCCAAUUGACUGCAGCCUGCCUGUGGUUGCAGGGUUGACCAAGCUGUAUGGACCUUGAGUCAGCCAGAGAAGAAAUGGUCAUUACUUCUUCCUUUAGUUUUUGUUAUUUAUUCCUUUCAGGAUAAUAGAGUUCUCCCCUUCCCACUUUUGUAAUUCUCACAAGAUCCUGCAGUCCAGAAAACACUGUCCUUAAAGAUAAAAUGUGAAAAUAAGCAGAAAUCAUUAUAUAAGUCAGAGAAUAUUGCAGUUAAUCAGCAGGACUGCCUGACUGGCCUCCCUCUGCACUGCCCAAGAAAGUGCCAAUAAAACUAGAUGGAUAUGUGACUUGAUACUGGUGCCUGAACACAUUAGUCAUUUUUAAUCUUUUCAUUUUGCAAUAAUUAAGGCAUCAACUCUGCCCUUUCUGUCUGAGGGAAAGUUUAUAAUGCUUGGAAGCACCUGGGUAUGAAAAAUACUUUUAUUGAUGUCUUUUCAGACUGUGCUUUGACACAACGAGGGCUCCAGUGCUCCUAAGAGAAUGCAUUCCCACUCAGCACCAGCCCUAGGCUCCUGGCACCUCACAGCUGGGUUUAUAGGGGAGCAGAGCUGGCCUGGCUAUAGUGCUCACACAAAACUGGAUCCUGUCUUCCUUUGCACUAUGAACACAUGGCCCAGCUUUUCCUGGGCAUUUGAAUGCCUCUUCCCUCCCAUUUAGGGGGGAAUGCAAGCAUGCUGAAUGUGGCCUGAGGAUUAGAUGCACUCCAAAAGUCUUAGGGACCAAGAAUAGGCAUAAUUUCAGGUGAACUAGUGGGAAAUCUGAGUGGCUUCAUGUGCACCCUUGAUGGCUCUGAGCUGGGCAGCAUCCAAGUUUACCUCCAUUUCUACACUGCUAUAGAGCACCAGCCCUCCACCUCUGAAGUCUGAGAUCCACAGCUCUGGGGCUGUAGAAGAAGAUGACAGUGACACUGUGAUUUCUAUUCACAUGCAUCACAAAACCUGCAGCACGGCCUCCUAUUUAAAUAGCAAACUUUUGCCAAAACACAAAUGCCUCCUACGAGACUCGGGGUGCCCCUAGCUUGCACCUAAAUGACUCACAGCCACAGGCACUUGCCACCUCCCAGGAGGUGCUGAGCAGUGGGUAGCAUGACACCAGGAAAACUACACUGGGGCAACAGAGGUCCAUGACUGGAGGGUGUUGUAAGUGCUGUGUGCUGGAAGUGUGGUAUAGCACCUGUUUCACAAGGUCUUGCUGGAAUUGAUGCUAUUAAUCCCCUGCUUCCAUGGGUACUAAAUGCACCCGCAGAAUGAGAAAGUAGCAUCUCACUGAUCAAAGCCAGCUCUGUCGCUUUUGCAUCCACUUUGCUAUUAUUCACACCUCACAGCUGGAUCAGCGUGUGACACACUGCAGUCCUUCAUUUUUCUUGCUCUGGAUUACAAGUGUUUUUAAGGUUUACCUGCUUGGAGAAAUAACACAUUUUACCCAGCGAUAAAUCUACUUUUUAUUUGUUCAGAAGGCCAGCUCGGAUUACUAAUUCAAAGAUGAUGAAUGAAUUAACUAUUUGAUGGAUCAAAGUAGAACAAUAUAUUUUGGGUGUUUGUUACACCAGGGAGGGUGCAUAACAGGUUAGUCCAUUGAAGAUUUAUUUUAUUUUUACAUUUCUUGAUUUCAAAACAAUAAAAUGCUGCUCAUGGGUAAACUUCCUAAACAAAGGAGACUGCCAAUGGGCCUGACAACGUUUCCUUGGUAACAUUUCUUAGCUUUUACCCCAGUGAUUGAUAUCCAAGGAUAGCCAUUUGCUUUCUGCAGAGGAGCAGGAGAAUAUGGCUCGAUGAUUCUCUUCCUGGCUCCUGAAAGCAGAGAGAGGAGAAACAAUCCACUACAGCUGAUGUGGCUUUACUCAUUAGUAAAAAACAAGUAAGCAAGCAAGCAAACAAACAAACAAAACCCAAAUACAAAACAAAGCAAAACAAUACAACAAAAAUUACCUAGGAAAAAAAUAGGAGACAAAUUGCACUUGGAACUUGAUCCAAAAAUCCCACUGUACUUGACAGAAAAUCUCUGUCUUGACAGGUCUUCAGACUAGAUCCCUGAAGUGUGUUUAAUACUCAUCUUAAUCUGAAUACAUUUCUCUGCUCUUCUCUUUGCUUUAUUUGAUUAAAAACCUUUCAUGCAAAGUUUCCUUUUUCUGUUUGUGCUCCCAGGCCCACCAUUUGUAGGGAGCCCUCAAAGCCACCUGCCUUGAGAAAUGGGAAACCAUGGGAGGCUGGGUCCUGUUCUGAUUUUACAGUAAGAUAUUCCCAAAUUUAAGGCAAUAAAGGAAAACUGCAUUUUCAAGCCCAGUCAGAGCUAGUCAAAAAGCGGGUUUAAGUGUGUGAGGGAGAUGUAAAGUGUCCAAAUGGUGCCACUCAUGCCAAAGCCCUUUGCAGUCACAGAAGUGACAACACUCGUGCAGUGAUUAUGACUGCUAACAAAGGUGCCCAGCUACCAGUGGUCCACAAUACUGCCAGCUUCAGUCAGUGACAACUGCACAUCAAACACCACAGUGACCGUCAAAUUAUUGCUGAAGACACAGGAAAUAGCCUUCCCUCUCCAACACACUCAUGGCUCUCCACUAUGGCUAGGGCUGAGCAGAUGAAGAGGACUUGGGUUACUUUGCAGCUCCUCAACACAAUCCAAGGAUCUGGAGAGAGAUCUGGGAGAGAAGUGAUGCUCAGGGGCAAGGAUGUUUUGGCUCCAUUUGCUUCUCCUUGACCUCAUUUGCUUCUCCUUGGCCAACACAGUUCCAUUUCCAGGGGACUUGAGGCUGUAUGGCUCUGCACUGUUUGUCAUGUCCUUCCCAGGUUUCUUUUCCUUGCUAAGCAUUUUCCCCCAUCUUUCCCUUUUUUAGGGUUUGAAAUGAAGGUAGUUGCAGCUCUGUCCCUUAAAAGAGGGGCUGCCAGCUUCAGCAGGGAUAUAUUAGCAAUAUAUUUCUUCCACAGGGUUAUGGGAAGAAACAGGAUAUGGCUAUCUGGACACCUCAGAAAUCAUUGCAGCCAGACAGAUUAAUGAGCCCUCACUCCUUUGUGGCCCUCUAAAUGCCACCAUCGACCAUGAGGCUCUUGGUUGACAGCAGGAGGCGAGCAGAGGCUGGUGUGGCCAGCUAAUGGCCUGCUCCCCCAGCCCAGACAGCAACGCUCACGGAGGAUGUGGCCCCUUGCUGCUUCCACGGCUGCUGCGGCCAGAGGCGUGUGCGGCAGCUGGGAGGCUGAGGGAAAGACUGAUGGACUCCUGAAGGACAAGCAGUGGGAUCACAGCAUGCCUCGCUUCUGUCAGGGAAGGGGCUAAAUCGAUGAACACACAACAAAUCAAUUCUGUUGGGGUUUUUUUUUGGUAAUGUGAUCUUUUCCAUUAGGAUGCUCACCAAUGAUCCAUUAAUAGCUCAUUCAACUGCCAGUGCUGGGUGGUACCCAAGGCCUGAGGAAAUGUAAAAUUUAAAAAAAAAAUAUAGUAAUUGAUCCAGAGAAUUGUAUAAUCAUAUGAUACAAGUGGCAGAUUUUAUUUUUGUAAGCUGAGUACCUUAUUUCCUGAAGCCUGAGAUACAUUCACACACUAUGGAAGCAUUAUAUUACUUAUAAAAUUAUCCAGUCCUUUUUAUAAUCCAGCAUCAGUACAGCCUGUCCCAAAUAACUCUUUUUAAGAUGCGCUCCACAGGCAUAUUAUGUACCUAAUUAUUUCUCUUUGUUUUUCUCUACUAUUUAUUUCAUCUGGUGUCUCCCUCUUUCCAGUGACAAAUUGUCUGUACUUGGAGACAUAAAUAAAGCCGAUUAAUCCUUUAAGGACACCCUCCAUGUCCCAGCUUCAGCA